GACGAACGCUGGCGGCGUGCUUAACACAUGCAAGUCGAACGGAAAGGCCCUGCUUUUGUGGGGUGCUCGAGUGGCGAACGGGUGAGUAACACGUGAGUAACCUGCCCUUGACUUUGGGAUAACUUCAGGAAACUGGGGCUAAUACCGGAUAGGAGCUCCUGCUGCAUGGUGGGGGUUGGAAAGUUUCGGCGGUUGGGGAUGGACUCGCGGCUUAUCAGCUUGUUGGUGGGGUAGUGGCUUACCAAGGCUUUGACGGGUAGCCGGCCUGAGAGGGUGACCGGCCACAUUGGGACUGAGAUACGGCCCAGACUCCUACGGGAGGCAGCAGUGGGGAAUAUUGCACAAUGGGCGGAAGCCUGAUGCAGCAACGCCGCGUGCGGGAUGACGGCCUUCGGGUUGUAAACCGCUUUCGCCUGUGACGAAGCGUGAGUGACGGUAAUGGGUAAAGAAGCACCGGCUAACUACGUGCCAGCAGCCGCGGUGAUACGUAGGGUGCGAGCGUUGUCCGGAUUUAUUGGGCGUAAAGGGCUCGUAGGUGGUUGAUCGCGUCGGAAGUGUAAUCUUGGGGCUUAACCCUGAGCGUGCUUUCGAUACGGGUUGACUUGAGGAAGGUAGGGGAGAAUGGAAUUCCUGGUGGAGCGGUGGAAUGCGCAGAUAUCAGGAGGAACACUAGUGGCGAAGGCGGUUCUCUGGGCCUUUCCUGACGCUGAGGAGCGAAAGCGUGGGGAGCGAACAGGCUUAGAUACCCUGGUAGUCCACGCUGUAAACGGUGGGUACUAGGUGUGGGGUCCAUUCCACGGGUUCCGUGCCGUAGCUAACGCUUUAAGUACCCCGCCUGGGGAGUACGGCCGCAAGGCUAAAACUCAAAGGAAUUGACGGGGCCCCGCACAAGCGGCGGAGCAUGCGGAUUAAUUCGAUGCAACGCGUAGAACCUUACCUGGGUUUGACAUGGAUCGGGAGUGCUCAGAGAUGGGUGUGCCUCUUUUGGGGUCGGUUCACAGGUGGUGCAUGGCUGUCGUCAGCUAGUGUCGUGAGAUGUUGGGUUAAGUCCCGCAACGAGCGCAACCCUUGUUCACUGUUGCCAGCACGUUAUGGUGGGGACUCAGUGGAGACCGCCGGGGUCAACUCGGAGGAAGGUGGGGAUGACGUCAAGUCAUCAUGCCCCUUAUGUCCAGGGCUUCACGCAUGCUACAAUGGCUGGUACAGAGAGUGGCGAGCCUGUGAGGGUGAGCGAAUCUCGGAAAGCCGGUCUCAGUUCGGAUUGGGGUCUGCAACUCGACCUCAUGAAGUCGGAGUCGCUAGUAAUCGCAGAUCAGCAACGCUGCGGUGAAUACGUUCCCGGG
RNAcentral lists this ribosomal RNA (1343 nucleotides) under uncultured bacterium. RNAcentral's name for it is "16S ribosomal RNA". It matches the Rfam family "Bacterial small subunit ribosomal RNA", at positions 28 to 1378 of the family's 1533-position model. The record is from RNAcentral.